This 442-nucleotide ribosomal RNA is filed under the name uncultured bacterium. Its description in RNAcentral is "partial 16S ribosomal RNA". It matches the Rfam family "Bacterial small subunit ribosomal RNA", at positions 338 to 795 of the family's 1533-position model. The record is from RNAcentral.
CCUACGGGUGACAGCAGUGGGGGAUAUUGGACAAUGGGGGGAACCCUGAUCCAGCGACGCCGCGUGAGUGACGAAGUAUCUCGGUAUGUUAAGCUCUAUCAGCAGGGAAGAAGAAAUGACGGUUACUGCGUAAGAAGCCCCGGCUAACUACGUGCCCGCAGCCGCGGUAAUACGUAGGGGGCAAGCGUUAUCCGGAAUUACUGGGUGUAAAGGGAGGGUAGACGGUGAUGUAAGUCUGGAGUGAAAGGCGGGGGCCCAACCCCCGGGCUGCUCUGGAAACUAGGUGACUGGAGUGGAGGAGAGGUGAGCGGAAUUCCUAGGGUAGCGGUGAAAUGCGUAGAUAUUAGGAGGAACACCAGUGGCGAAGGCGGCGCACGGGACUGUAACUGACGUUGAGGCUCGAAAGCGUGGGGAGCAAACAGGAUUAGAUACCCCUGUAGUC